GACGAACGCUGGCGGCGUGCUUAACACAUGCAAGUCGAACGGAAAGGCCCUGCUUUUGUGGGGUGCUCGAGUGGCGAACGGGUGAGUAACACGUGAGUAACCUGCCCUUGACUUUGGGAUAACUUCAGGAAACUGGGGCUAAUACCGGAUAGGAGCUCCUGCUGCAUGGUGGGGGUUGGAAAGUUUCGGCGGUUGGGGAUGGACUCGCGGCUUAUCAGCUUGUUGGUGGGGUAGUGGCUUACCAAGGCUUGGACGGGUAGCCGGCCUGAGAGGGUGACCGGCGACAUUGGGACUGAGAGACGGCCCAGACUCCUACGGGAGGCAGAAGUGGGGAAUAUUGCACAAUGGGCGGAAGCCUGAUGCAGCAACGCCGCGUGCGGGAUGACGGCCUUCGGGUUGUAAACCGCUUUCGCCUGUGACGAAGCGUGAGUGACGGUAAUGGGUAAAGAAGCACCGGCUAACUACGUG
This 468-nucleotide ribosomal RNA is filed under the name uncultured bacterium. RNAcentral describes it as "partial 16S ribosomal RNA". It matches the Rfam family "Bacterial small subunit ribosomal RNA", at positions 28 to 507 of the family's 1533-position model. The record is from RNAcentral.